GCCAGCUAUUAAAAUGGUCAUCACCAGACCAAGGCUCAAUCGAGUCAUGGAAGGAGGAAUCAGAAAUAAACUGCACAACGACUUGGCUGGUGACCCACUUCACAUCUCCUUGCUAAACACUGGAGAAUCAUGCGAAGACUUUGAUGUAACAGAUUGACCUCUAACAGCAACCAUGGGCAUCAGUGAUGAGAAAACCUGUGUUGAGACAGCAUUGGCUGAACCCCACAGAGUGUGUGCAUGUCUGCAGUGAGGAUGAACUCUUCCACCUUGAAAGCACAGAUGACAUGGCAAAUAAGAUUGAGACAGCAACAGGAGAACAGGCAGCCGACCAGGAGUGGCAUCAGCUCCACAGGCCAAGAUUACAUCUUCAUGUUUAAGAGGUUUGUUAUAUGAGGGGUGAAACUGUGCAGAGAGAAUCCUCAAAGGAACGAGACAGACUGCAGACGUGAGCACAGGGACAGACAUGGAGUUUAACGCCGCUGGAGAAAACUGCAAAUUGAAAAACUUUAACUAUAGGCCUCAUGGCCUCGUUGUCCACCCUGACGCUCCCUGGCUUGGUUCCUCACCAGAUGGGUUGAUCUUUGAUCCAUCUGCACAGCCACCGUUUGGACUGCUUGAGAUAAGGUGUCUUUAUGUGAGGAAUUAUGUUCACUUCAGAUACCUUCAACUAAGAA
Molecule: long non-coding RNA, 674 nt
Organism: Oreochromis niloticus (Nile tilapia)
Lineage: Eukaryota; Metazoa; Chordata; Actinopteri; Cichliformes; Cichlidae
Exons: 3
Source: RefSeq, a predicted model, not a curated record